AGAUUCGGGAGGUACAUGUGCAAGUUUGUUACAUGGAUAUACUGUGUGAUGCUGAGGUUUGGGGUAUGAUUGAUCCUGUCACCCAGGUAUUAAGGCUGAAUUUGUCUACACAUCAAACAUGUACCUAGGAGGAAUAUUUGCUCUGUGCCAUCAGCAGUGUAGAAACUAGAAUAACCAGCUGCCGUAUUGUGAGCUGCAUUAUGAAGAGAACCAUGUGGCAAGACACUGAGGGAGAUCUCCAGCCAACAACAACUCAUAAGCAACUAAAUCUUGUGAUGAACCACUGGAGUCAUCUGGAAAGAGGAUCCUCUCACCUUCAAUCUUUGAAAUGGCUAGAGCUCUGAUGACAGUUGGAUUACAGCCUUAGGAGAAACAGAGAGCCGGGGAAAUUUGUGCCCAGGUUCCUUUCCCACAGACAUUGUCAGAUAAUAAAUAUCUCUGCGUUUUUAAGCUUCUAUGUUCUGGGAUAAUUUGUUAUGCUGCAAU
RNAcentral lists this long non-coding RNA (486 nucleotides) under Homo sapiens (human). RNAcentral describes it as "HSALNT0323159". Lineage: Eukaryota; Metazoa; Chordata; Mammalia; Primates; Hominidae. The record is from RNAcentral.